Molecule: long non-coding RNA, 1595 nt
Organism: Panicum hallii
Lineage: Eukaryota; Viridiplantae; Streptophyta; Magnoliopsida; Poales; Poaceae
Exons: 7
Source: RefSeq, a predicted model, not a curated record
CCGCCGCCUCCUCUCACAGCUGUCGCCGCCGCGCUCGCCGUCCGCCACCGCCGUCCUCCUCGCCUCCCCGCGCCUCCCCCGCGCCUCCCCGCCGAGCUCACCGGAGAGCUCAACGGAGAGCUCACCGCGGCCUCCCCGCGCCUCCCCCGCGCCUCCCCGCGCCCUCCCGCCCCCUCCCUUCCCAGCUCACCGGAGAGCUCACCGGAUCCGCGUCCUCCCCGGCGCCCUCCACGCCGACGGCCUCACCGGAGGCCGACUUCACCGGGGCUGUCGCCGCGGCCUCCCAGGCGCCCUCGCAGUGGCCUCCCCGCCCUCAGCGCGGCCUCCCCGCGCCGGUGGCCUCAUCGGAGGCCGAGCCGCGGCCUCCCCGGCACCCUCGCCGCACCCUCCCCGCCGCCUCCCCUGCCCCUAGCUAGCAGGAUGGCGGGUAGGAAGGUGAAGAAGAUUUCUAAGGGCCUGCUUGGGGCAGUGUGCGGUGUAGGCAACAAGGAAGAUGCCCUUUUUCAAGGGAGUUCGUCUAGCUCGAGCAGAUGACGGGACUUGAUGAGGGCUCUCACCCAAGAGCAGCAGCCCGUUCAGCAAGAGCAGCAGCAUGUUUAGGAAGAGCCUGUGGUCUGCUAUAUGAGAAACGAGAACGAUCCUGAAUCCGAGGAGGAGGGGGAGGAGGGGAUGGGGAGGAGGAGGAUGGGGAGGAGGAGGGGGACGGGGAGGAGUCCGACCAGAUGGGUGUGUCCGAGGAAGGGGGGAAGCAUGGGACUACGUCUGGAGAAGCGGACGAUGAGGGCGACGCCGAUCCUUUUGGGGAGUUGCCCUCUAACUUUCCCUCUAGUUCGGCGUCUCAGAGAACUUAGCACAGUCGGAGGAGCCACCACGUUCGUCCAGGACUCGAACGCGCUGAGCUUGAUAAGAUUAUCAUUAGACCAUGUGGUGACUGGUUUUGGGAUGACACCUCUUUCGAAGGCAAGGGGCAUCACCGGCAGGUGAACACGACGUUAGGUAACUGGAUUCGGCUUCAUUGGCCGGGUGUGGUUACUGAUCCCGGUACUGGCCAGAUAAUACCGGUUAGAAAUUGGGACCAAUACCGGUACGCAACUAAUGCAAAGCAUGUGAACGCUCAAGAAACGUUACAGAUUGGGACCUGGAUCGUGUCCGAAUCAUGCUGAGAGGGUUUUUCGAGAACAAUGCCGCCAAGAUCACCAGGGAUGCCAUCUCUUAUGCGCGCAUACAGGCCCAGAACAUCUAUUUCAAGGAAGUACUUGGGAGAUCAAUUUUGGGAAAGCGAGAAUCCUCAUCUACCUACUUGACUGAGCAACAGUACAGACAGGUUAUGGUGCCUUGGAUGGCGAACAAUUUGGAGGGCUACCAUGCUCUAUGCAGACUAUGGUCAUCGGCAGGAUUCAAGGCUAAGUCUGAGAAGAAUAGGCGUAACCGUGGGAGACAAGGCUUGCACAGAUAUGGUGGUGAUGGGCAUCUUCGAAAGGAAGCUGCUACUGGGGUCGCUCCAAGCGAUAUUGAGGUGUACGUGGAAUUCCACAAGGGUCGAGAUCCUUAGAACCCUGACCUCCUGUGCACAGAGAAGGCCACACAGCGUAUGG